UACGUAGGUGGCAAGCGUUGUCCGGAAUUAUUGGGCGUAAAGCGCGCGCAGGCGGUCCUUUAAGUCUGAUGUGAAAGCCCACGGCUCAACCGUGGAGGGUCAUUGGAAACUGGGGGACUUGAGUGCAGAAGAGGAAAGCGGAAUUCCACGUGUAGCGGUGAAAUGCGUAGAGAUGUGGAGGAACACCAGUGGCGAAGGCGGCUUUCUGAUCUGUAACUGACGCUGAGGCGCGAAAGCGUGGGGAGCAAACAGG
RNAcentral lists this ribosomal RNA (253 nucleotides) under uncultured bacterium. RNAcentral's name for it is "partial 16S ribosomal RNA". It matches the Rfam family "Bacterial small subunit ribosomal RNA", at positions 524 to 776 of the family's 1533-position model. The record is from RNAcentral.